Aquila chrysaetos chrysaetos is the source of this 330-nucleotide long non-coding RNA. RefSeq lists it as uncharacterized. Lineage: Eukaryota; Metazoa; Chordata; Aves; Accipitriformes; Accipitridae. The record is from RefSeq and is a predicted model, not a curated record. The transcript is spliced from 3 exons.
UCUCAAAACUAAAUUGCUUAGACAGUACUGCAGCUUGUUUAAACUGAAGUUAAGAAAAUUUACCCCUUUGAUUAAGCUAGCACAGCUCCACUUAGAUAUGCCCAUCUUUAAGGGGAAUAUUUUGGCAAAGAGACUGUGCCCUUUCAAUUAAGUUUUAAAGAGGCUUGGAAGGAGAAUGGAUAGUAAAUGUGCCAGAGAACAUUUAAUACUGUUUCCAAGUACAUGUUUUCCCAAUUCUUCUUAAAGCUUAGAUUUUUAUAAGAGUUUUCUGAGGUACUUCAUCUAAACAUUUUAAUUUUAGCCAACAAGACUAGUUCAGACACCAUCAUC